Caenorhabditis elegans is the source of this 197-nucleotide non-coding RNA. Lineage: Eukaryota; Metazoa; Nematoda; Chromadorea; Rhabditida; Rhabditidae. The record is from Ensembl.
GAAUUUUGGAAGGAAAUGGCGUGAGGAGGAGAAGGUCCAUAAAGACACCCAUCCAUGCAUAUCCCAGAAAGGAAUGCGGGAAAAACACUUUCUCGCCCAUUUCGGCACAAAAAACGUUUCGGACAUUCAUUGUUGCUUUUUCAGUUUUCGAGUGGACCGAAGGCCACCACAGGGGUUUUCAAGAUCACUAAGAAUUG